This 73-nucleotide transfer RNA is filed under the name Balaenoptera acutorostrata scammoni. RNAcentral's name for it is "tRNA-Arg (ACG) (tRNA-Arg-ACG-5-1)". It matches the Rfam family "tRNA". From Rfam's summary of the family: Transfer RNA (tRNA) molecules are approximately 80 nucleotides in length. Their secondary structure includes four short double-helical elements and three loops (D, anti-codon, and T loops). The record is from RNAcentral. Lineage: Eukaryota; Metazoa; Chordata; Mammalia; Artiodactyla; Balaenopteridae.
GCGCCAGUGGCGCAAUGGAUAACGCGUCUGACUACGGAUCAGAAGACUCCAGGUUCGACUCCUGGCUGGCUCG